Pipistrellus kuhlii (Kuhl's pipistrelle) is the source of this 389-nucleotide long non-coding RNA. RefSeq lists it as uncharacterized. Lineage: Eukaryota; Metazoa; Chordata; Mammalia; Chiroptera; Vespertilionidae. The record is from RefSeq and is a predicted model, not a curated record. The transcript is spliced from 2 exons.
GACACUAGGAAGUCCAGGUUGCCAACAUACUGGAAACCAAUAUUUUUGGGUCAGGUCCCCAUAGGUCUCUGAUCUUAAGAGAACCAAAGUCUAUGCUUAAAGUGGAGAUGGAAAAAAGGACAUAAAAACGAAUUUUAGUUUUCCCACACAACAAGGUGUGUGUGCCAAGAUGGUUAAUGUGAGUCAACAUCAAGAUCUCCCUCCUCCCAGGAACCAAGAGGAAGUUUCUCAAAACUAGAAGGGAAAGGUAUUUCUCCCCGAUGUCAUUGGAGACAUUCUAUUAGUACUAUAUGUCCUUCCCCAAAAAAUAACAAUGAAGUGUUCUGUGUGCUAACAACAUAGCUUAAAAAAAAAAAAAGGUAAAACAAAAUCUGCAUUUUUAUAAAACU